RNAcentral lists this ribosomal RNA (501 nucleotides) under uncultured bacterium. Its description in RNAcentral is "partial 16S ribosomal RNA". It matches the Rfam family "Bacterial small subunit ribosomal RNA", at positions 29 to 523 of the family's 1533-position model. The record is from RNAcentral.
AUUGAACGCUGGCGGCAUGCCUUACACAUGCAAGUCGAACGGCAGCACGGGUGCUUGCACCUGGUGGCGAGUGGCGAACGGGUGAGUAAUACAUCGGAACGUACCUUAUAGUGGGGGAUAACGCAGCGAAAGCUGUGCUAAUACCGCAUACGCCCUGAGGGGGAAAGCGGGGGAUCGAAAGACCUCGCGCGAUUAGAGCGGCCGAUGCCUGAUUAGCUUGUUGGUGGGGUAAAAGCCCACCAAGGCGACGAUCAGUAGCUGGUGUGAGAGGACGAUCCGCCACACGGGGACUGAGACACGGCCCAGACUCCUACGGGAGGCAGCAGUGGGGAAUUUUGAACAAUGGGGGCAACCCUUAUACAGCAAUGCCGCGUGAGUGAAGAAGGCCUUCGGGUUGUAAAGCUCUUUUGUCAGGGAAGAAACACCGGCUCUAACACAGUCCGGGAAUGACGGUACCUGAAGAAUAAGCACCGGCUAACUACGUGCCAGCAGCCGCCGUAA